This 383-nucleotide ribosomal RNA is filed under the name Delftia sp. A205. RNAcentral's name for it is "bacterial SSU rRNA". It matches the Rfam family "Bacterial small subunit ribosomal RNA", at positions 1069 to 1454 of the family's 1533-position model. Lineage: Bacteria; Pseudomonadati; Pseudomonadota; Betaproteobacteria; Burkholderiales; Comamonadaceae. The record is from RNAcentral.
GAGAUGUUGGGUUAAGUCCCGCAACGAGCGCAACCCUUGUCUUUAGUUGCUACAUUCAGUUGAGCACUCUAAUGAGACAGCCGGUGACAAACCGGAGGAAGGUGGGGAUGACGUCAAGUCCUCAUGGCCCUUAUAGGUGGGGCUACACACGUCAUACAAUGGCUGGUACAGAGGGUUGCCAACCCGCGAGGGGGAGCUAAUCCCAUAAAACCCGUCGUAGUCCGGAUCGCAGUCUGCAACUCGACUGCGUGAAGUUGGAAUCGCUAGUAAUCGCGGAUCAGCAUGCCGCGGUGAAUACGUUCCCGGGUCUUGUACACACCGCCCGUCACACCAUGGGAGCGGGUCUCGCCAGAAGUAGGUAGCCUAACCGCAAGGAGGGCGCU